CUCAAUUCUUUCUUCUCUCUCUACAUGCUGCUUUUCUCUUAUCUCACGACAACUCACUCUAUAUUAUAUAUUGGUAAAUUCUCUCUACUCACUGCCUCUCUCAAUUCUCUCACACAACUUUCUUUAUCACUCUUUCUCUUUCUCAGCUUUUCUCCACAAUGUCGAUGGAAUUGCCUUCUGAUUUCUUCCAACAUGGCGGUAAAAAUGGAUUGAGCUAGAGUUAGUCCUUUUCUAGAUUGUUCCCAAUUGCUUGAAGAAGAAGGUUCAAGAAAUGGGCUGCAUUAUAUAUUUUUCUCUGAAAUUUUCUUUAAGUUCUGUGCUGUAUCUUCAAAUAUUACUCCUUUCCACAUAAGCCCUUUUGAAGGUUUCUCAAGACUCAGGAGUUGAAAUAGUUACCGCUAGAAGGAAUUGUUGCCUGAAUUUCUAGCACGACGUUGUGUCCGACAUAGCAAAAGCCACAUCACCCAAUGCAUUGAAAAAGUUAAAUCUCGUUGUAGUCAAGGCUCCUAGGCCAUAAUUCCUAUUUGCGGAGCUAAGAUCAAGAUGAAAAGGGUGAGCUUGAUCUGACUGAAGGAAGAGGGGGGGGGGGAAUUCUAUCCAUGUGGGUCCGCCCCUGCGCUACAUCAUAGUGUUUAUGUGAAACCCUAUACAAAUUAGAAUAUAUCUACUUUUUAUUAGGGGGCGAACUCACAUAAGACUACCCAGACACAAAAAAUAAUUGUAUGGCAUUUUUAUUUUUAUAUAUUAGCCUAUCCUAAUUGUUGAAACCUUGGUCUUCCUAGAGUUGUAAUAUUGGUUGGA
Molecule: long non-coding RNA, 801 nt
Filed under: Olea europaea subsp. europaea
Lineage: Eukaryota; Viridiplantae; Streptophyta; Magnoliopsida; Lamiales; Oleaceae
Source: RNAcentral